GGAGUGCUAUGGGUGCCUUUCCCCUACCUUGAAGGAGAUCAGGAUUGAACUCUUUGCGACAGAUUAAAAAGGCUAUGUACUCAUUUGAACUAAAAUUAUCCGGCUGCCAGCCUGCUUGAUAGCAAUUACAUCUAAAGAGAGAGAACCACUGAACUUCAUGUAUUGGUGUCAGAGCAGGCUGAGGGAGGCAACAUGGGGCACGGCCACAAGUGAGCCAUGGGCUGUGGUAUCCCACUGCAGGGCAGGGAUCCUCUACCAGCAGAGGGGGCUGCAGAGCCAAAAAGCCUCCAAUCCACCCCUCUGCCCCUCUGAGCGCCCUGCAAUAUGCUCAAUUUCAGUCAUUCCUGGCACUCGGCUCUUCUGUUGUUCGUUCUACAAUUCUGAACUACCUUAAAAGGAGACACCUUCGGUUUGGUUCAGAUACAUAAUUCGUGUCGUGUCCAUAGAUUUGUUUCUCUUACAGCGUGCCAUCACGUUACUAUCCCCAGAAAUGUUUGAUUCUUUUUCUUUUUAAAUGCCAGUAACAGAUUUGGGGUAUGCGUAGCUAUAUACAUACACAGUUAAUAUGAAAGUCGGGUCCAUGAUAGCACUGGAUGUACACACAUCUCAGUUAGCGGUGCUUUACAGAAGGCAGCACAAAGCUGUCUGUGACUAUGGCUUGUUUUUUAAAAAAAAUAACCCUUUACUGAUAAAGUAAUGAAUAAUGUAUCUAAAUAAAUAAAAAGCGAAAUACUUUUAUUAGGCUGCUGAUAAUGUCAAUCUGAUGAAAGGAUCUGGAGUCAGGUGUCAAUGAAACAGUGUUUUGAAUUCUCCUUUACCAGCGUGGCAUUUCAAAAUGCCCAGUGUCAAGCCUGGAUAUUAUGAUAUAUGUUUCUUAUUUACUAUUAAUGUUCUUAGAGCUUCUGUGCUUUGCUAUUUGAUACCUUGGCUGUUUGCUUAAACUCUGUAUGCAAAUGCAGAGCUCAAAUACAAAGCUGGAGUGUUAAGAUUAAAGAAGAACUAGGAUUCCAAGAUUAAAAAGUGAGAUGAAUGUUUCCUGUAAAUAUGUAUCAUUAGUCCGAUUUUAAAAGGAUGUUUAGCAGUGAUUCAAAAAAAAUAAAUGAUAAUACUAAAAAAAUCAGCAUUGUAAAAGAAAUGGCCCUAAAUGCUUUAGAAUGCAUGGAUAGCAGAGAAGCCUUUCUCCAGCUGUAAAUGAAUGGCAUCUUCUGACGCCCACCGCAAAGGUAAUGGUAAGCAGAGCCCCACAUGACACUGUUCAGAUGCCUUCCCCUCAUUACACAUCCCUGUCCUAUCUGACUGCAGGCUGAGCAAGCUGUGUAGGGAAGAGGCUCCGUGCCCAGCUCCUUCUUCCAGUCCCUCUAUCCCUCAGAGCUGCAGCUUGGGGCCACCUGCACAGCUUCAGAGCACAGCGUUUGGGUACCAGCCCGGCCUGCAGCCCCAUCGGGAUGCCGGCUUCUACUCUCACCCCUUCUCCAUCCGAGGUGGAACUUGUUGCCAAGAGAGCAGCUGGCAUUGUUAUUCGAGACGGUAAACUUUCGCCUUGGGAAUAGUAUUUCUGUGCCUGUGUCACGGCUGGGAGAGGAAGAGUUCAGGGAGAAAAACUUGUUUGACAAGGAAGGCUUCUUUUGUUUAAAAAAAAAAAAAAAAAAAAAAAGAGGAGGGAAAGGGGGGGGGGAAGCUCCAAACUCGUGGGAAUAGGUGAAAGCGACAGAGGCUGAGACUGGAGACAAAGAUGAGAAGCGAUCCUUAACGUGUGAGCGUCUGCCCACCCCGCGGAGGGGAAAAUCAAAAGGCUGUCAGCACGGAGCGCGGUGCUGGGCGGGAGGCAGCGAGCAGCCGGGAGAUGGGAGCGCUCCAGGUGAGAUCGCAUCCUGCAGCCCUUCGGCACUGCUCUGACGGUGAUGGGAGAGGAGGCACAGGGGGCGUCAGCCCACCGACUGCAGGCAGGCUGUGGGGCCGAGGCACGAGGUGCAUCCAGCAAGGCUCGGUGAGCUCCGGCUGGCAGGAGAAGCAGCUGCAGAGCAGCGGUCACUUACAGGCUGCCUCUCGCUUUCUGCUUUUUUCACCUUUUUUGAUUUGUGAGCCGUGGUGUGUUUUCCAGAGGAGUGGGUCCCUUUUGAAAUGCACAUUCCCGAAGCGAUGCACAGCAUAAAUGGACUUGUUUUUCUUCGCCACCUCUCACAGACACCUUAGAAGUAGACCGCAGAGCUCCCAGAGGUCUGCAGACCCCCAGGUUGAAAACUAGUACUCUAAUGUUAAUCCUUUCAGUUGUCCAGUCCAGGAAAUGUGAUUAUUUUACAGCUGAGAGAACAGAGACAAAGAAAGGUGAUGCCAAAAAGCAAGAAUGGUGAAAACUUGGCUCUGAUCUAGGAGCAAGAAGUGAGGCUGGCUUUCCCCUGAGUCUUUCAGAUGCUAUGGAAAUCACUCCCAAAGUGUUCCCCUUUCAUUAGGGGAUGUGUAAAUUCACAUCCGUGGACAGUAAGUGCUCACAAAUCCCUCCGAACCCAGAGCGAUGCAUACCUGCUCCUCACUGCCUAUCACAGUUCUGAUAUGUCUCUUUUCACGCAGCCCGGUUUGAGACAGUGGUCAUGCCCAGGCUGUGGAGGCAGACAGUGGAUGAGAUGGCUCCAGGAAACAACACCACAAAGUUAGCAGCGUGAAGUGGAUGAUGACGUGGUGUCAUUCCCAGAAAGUCUUCUGCUGUUGGUAUCUCGUGAUGCAUCUUGACAGUGUGAUGGCAUCCCACAGCUCUCUGUGCAUCUUCAGGUAAGCGUGCAGUAUACCCACAGGGCAGCCAAAUCAUAGGAUCAGAGGAACUAAAGACAGGCAAGAUCUGUCAGAUCACAGAGCACAUGC
This is a long non-coding RNA of Gallus gallus (chicken), 2856 nucleotides long. RefSeq lists it as uncharacterized. The record is from RefSeq and is a predicted model, not a curated record. NCBI's taxonomy places the organism in Eukaryota, Metazoa, Chordata, Aves, Galliformes, Phasianidae. The transcript has 4 exons.